UUGACCUCAAAUCAGGUAGGACUACCCGCUGAACUUAAGCAUAUCAAUAAGCGGAGGAAAAGAAACUAACAAGGAUUCCCCUAGUAACUGCGAGUGAAGUGGGAAAAGCUCAAAUUUAAAAUCUGACAGUCUUUGACUGUCUGAGUUGUAACCUAGAGAAGUGCUACCUGUGCUGGACCAUGUAUAAGUCUCCUGGAAUGGAGUGUCAGAGAGGGUGAGAAUCCCGUCCUUGACAUGGACUGCCAGUGCAUUGUGGUGUGCUCUCAAAGAGUCGAGUUGUUGGAAAUGCAGCU
Molecule: ribosomal RNA, 293 nt
Filed under: Amanita ponderosa
Lineage: Eukaryota; Fungi; Basidiomycota; Agaricomycetes; Agaricales; Amanitaceae
Description: partial 28S ribosomal RNA
Rfam family: Eukaryotic large subunit ribosomal RNA
Source: RNAcentral